UACGUAGGGUGCAAGCGUUGUUCGGAAUUACUGGGCGUAAAGGGCUCGUAGGCGGCCAACUAAGUCAUACGUGAAAUCCCUCGGCUUAACCGGGGAACUGCGUCUGAUACUGGAUGGCUUGAGUUCGGGAGAGGGAUGCGGAAUUCCAGGUGUAGCGGUGAAAUGCGUAGAUAUCUGGAGGAACACCGGUGGCGAAGGCGGCAUCCUGGACCGAUACUGACGCUGAGGAGCGAGAGCCAGGGGAGCGAACAGG
This 253-nucleotide ribosomal RNA is filed under the name uncultured bacterium. RNAcentral describes it as "partial 16S ribosomal RNA". It matches the Rfam family "Bacterial small subunit ribosomal RNA", at positions 524 to 776 of the family's 1533-position model. The record is from RNAcentral.